GUUGCUCCAUCUAAAGGGGAUUCCACGCUCGAACAACACUGUUGAUAGCAUAUCAGAGAAUUUUUGGUUUUGGAUUGCUGAAGAUAUUGUGGAAGGUUGUGGCAGGCCGUUGAGGGUUUGUUGAAGGAUUGAAGGAGAGAGUUUCAAUGAUUUGUGCCAAGUAAAAAUGAAUCAAUCCUUGUGAUGGGUUGAAGUUGGCUACGUUUUCCUUUGCGUAUUGGAAUUGCACUUGCUGCGUUUUGACACUUGAUCUCGCCAUUUUGUUCUGCAGUUUUUUGGUUGUUUGCUGCGUACUUUCUGUUACAACGGGUAUGGAUGACCUUCGAUGACUCGUUUUUGAUUCUCACUUCCGUGGCUCUUAACAUCUCCUUUCAAAUUCUGUGGAACAGUGAGGUGGAAUGCGGGUGGCUCAUGGAUUCGUGAUUGGGAUGGUACUAUUGGAAACUUGGAAUCCGUGUGUUAAAUGUUGAAUUCAAAUUGUGUAUCGAAUAGGAAUGUAUAUGAAUGCUUGAACUUGAUUGUAAUUUAAAAAUGGUUGAAUGAGACCUUAGAAUCAAAGGCUUAUGUAUAAAACUGUUUAUAUCUUGAAUGAAAGAAAAUUAUUUGGUA
Long non-coding RNA from Lathyrus oleraceus (garden pea), 609 nucleotides. RefSeq lists it as uncharacterized. The transcript is spliced from 2 exons. The record is from RefSeq and is a predicted model, not a curated record. NCBI's taxonomy places the organism in Eukaryota, Viridiplantae, Streptophyta, Magnoliopsida, Fabales, Fabaceae.